RNAcentral lists this ribosomal RNA (774 nucleotides) under uncultured Neocallimastigales. Its description in RNAcentral is "partial large subunit ribosomal RNA". It matches the Rfam family "Eukaryotic large subunit ribosomal RNA", at positions 23 to 632 of the family's 3401-position model. The record is from RNAcentral. Lineage: Eukaryota; Fungi; Neocallimastigomycota; Neocallimastigomycetes; Neocallimastigales.
AGAGAGAGACAUGCGCGCAUAUCAAUAAGCGGAGGAAAAGAAACUAACAAGGAUUCCCUUAGUAACGGCGAGUGAAGCGGGAAGAGCUCAAAUUUGAAAUCUUCAAGGUUUUACCUUGACGAAUUGUAGUUUAAAGAAGUGUUUUCUGUUGAAGUUUUGGUAAAAGUUCUUUGGAAUAGGACGUCAUAGAGGGUGAGAAUCCCGUAUUUGACCAUUAUUUUCAGCUGUGUGAUACACUUUCAAAGAGUCGGAUUGUUUGGGAAUGCAGUCCAAAAUGGGUGGUAAAUUUCAUCUAAAGCUAAAUAUUGGCGAGAGACCGAUAGCGAGCAAGUACCGUGAGGGAAAGAUGAAAAGAACUUUGAAAAGAGAGUUAAACAGUACGUGAAAUUGUCAAAAGGGAAGCGUUUGACACCAGUGUUGUUUUCUCGAAAAUCAAUUAAAAAAGGCCGGAUUUUGUGUUGUAUUGACCUUAAAAGCUUUCUUCACUCUUUUCUUGUCUUUUUUAAUGCACUUUUCGUUUAACAAGUCAACAUCAGUUUCUUUUGUUGUAAAAGGGUCAUUGGAAGGUGGCUUUCUUUUCGGAGAAAGUGUUUAUAGCCUUUGAUCUCUGCAACCGGAGAGACUGAGGUCUGCAGCGUAGACUCUUCGGGGUUAGAUACAUUUGUGCUAAGCUAUAGCUUUUUAUAGACAACUUGUUGACUAUAUUUAGUCUUGUGGCUUACUCGCUUAUGCUAUUUUACCUACGCUUAGGAUGUUGACAGCAGUAUAGACUGU